Molecule: ribosomal RNA, 406 nt
Filed under: uncultured bacterium
Lineage: Bacteria
Description: bacterial SSU rRNA
Rfam family: Bacterial small subunit ribosomal RNA
Source: RNAcentral
GGGAAUAUUGGACAAUGGGGGGAACCCUGAUCCAGCGACGCCGCGUGAGUGAAGAAGUAUUUCGGUAUGUAAAGCUCUAUCAGCAGGGAAGAAAGAAAUGACGGUACCUGACUAAGAAGCCCCGGCUAACUACGUGCCAGCAGCCGCGGUAAUACGUAGGGGGCAAGCGUUAUCCGGAUUUACUGGGUGUAAAGGGAGCGUAGACGGUUAUGCAAGUCUGGAGUGAAAGCCCGGGGCUCAACCCCGGGACUGCUUUGGAAACUGUAAAACUGGAGUGCAGGAGAGGCAGGCGGAAUUCCUAGUGUAGCGGUGAAAUGCGUAGAUAUUAGGAGGAACACCAGUGGCGAAGGCGGCCUGCUGGACUGUAACUGACGUUGAGGCUCGAAGGCGUGGGGAGCAAACAGGA